AUGGUCGGCGUAAGAGUGGUUUGGGAUAACCCAAAAAUAAAGCUAAAGACCUUCUAAGCCGUCACACGCAUACCGAAGGCACGAGGCCCCGACACGAAAGUAGCUUUACUAUUACCCCGACGCCACGAAAGCUAAGAAACAAACUGGGAUUAGAUACCCCACUAUG
RNAcentral lists this ribosomal RNA (166 nucleotides) under Leporinus friderici (threespot leporinus). RNAcentral's name for it is "partial small subunit ribosomal RNA". Lineage: Eukaryota; Metazoa; Chordata; Actinopteri; Characiformes; Anostomidae. The record is from RNAcentral.